Molecule: ribosomal RNA, 228 nt
Filed under: uncultured bacterium
Lineage: Bacteria
Description: partial 16S ribosomal RNA
Rfam family: Bacterial small subunit ribosomal RNA
Source: RNAcentral
CGCGUAGGCGGCCUGGUAAGUCAGAUGUGAAAGCCCGGGGCUUAACCCCGGAAGUGCAUUUGAUACUGUCAGGCUUGAGUAUGGGAGAGGGAAGUGGAAUUCCUGGUGUAGAGGUGAAAUUCGUAGAUAUCAGGAGGAACACCGGUGGCGAAGGCGGCUUCCUGGACCAAUACUGACGCUGAGGCGCGAAGGCGUGGGGAGCAAACAGGAUUAGAUACCCUGGUAGUC